GGUGUUUACUGUCGAACUGAACACUCUACCGUUUACUGUCUGGUGGUGCUCUUCACCGAGUGUCACCAGUGGUCGGUACGUUUACUUUGAAAAAAUUAGAGUGCUCAAGCGGUUUUUACACGACGAUACUGUUGCAUGAUAUGAAAUAGGACUUGUCUAUUUGUGUCUACCAACCAACGGUAUGACCAGUAGCGACAGACGGGGGCAUUAGUACUGCGACGCUAGAGGUGAAAUUCUUGCACCGUCGCAAGACUAACUAAAGCGAAAGCAUUUGCCAAGAAUGUUUUCAUUAAUCAAGAACGAAAGUCAGAGGUUCGAAGGCGAUCAGAUACCGCCCUAGUUCUAACCAUAAACGAUGCCAACCAGCAAUCAGCCUGUGUUCUCUUGAUGACACGGCUGGCGGCUUCCGGGAAACCAAAGUCUUUCGGUUCCAGGGGAAGUAUGGUUGCAAAGCUGAAACUUAAAGGAAUUGACGGAAGGGCACCACCAGGAGUGGAGCGUGCGGCUUAAUUUGACUCAACACGGGGAAACUCACCCGGCCCGGACACUGUGAGGAUUGACAGGUUGAAGCCCUUUCUUGAUUCAGUGGGUGGUGGUGCAUGGCCGUUCUUAGUUGGUGGAGUGAUUUGUCUGGUUAAUUCCGAUAACGAACGAGACUCUAGCCUACUAAUUAGACCGUGGCGUCCUCGUGCCGCCACGGCGCUUCCUAGAGGGACAGACGG
RNAcentral lists this ribosomal RNA (722 nucleotides) under uncultured eukaryote. RNAcentral's name for it is "SSU rRNA". It matches the Rfam family "Eukaryotic small subunit ribosomal RNA", at positions 671 to 1426 of the family's 1831-position model. The record is from RNAcentral.